Molecule: ribosomal RNA, 253 nt
Filed under: uncultured bacterium
Lineage: Bacteria
Description: partial 16S ribosomal RNA
Rfam family: Bacterial small subunit ribosomal RNA
Source: RNAcentral
UACGGAGGGUGCAAGCGUUAUCCGGAUUCACUGGGUUUAAAGGGUGCGUAGGUGGGCAGGUAAGUCAGUGGUGAAAUCUCCAAGCUUAACUUGGAAACUGCCGUUGAUACUAUCUGUCUUGAAUAUUGUGGAGGUGAGCGGAAUAUGUCAUGUAGCGGUGAAAUGCUUAGAUAUGACAUAGAACACCAAUUGCGAAGGCAGCUCACUACACAAUCAUUGACUCUGAGGCACGAAAGCGUGGGGAGCAAACAGG